AGAACGAACGUUAGCGGCGCGCUUAACACAUGCAAGUCGAGCGAGAAAGGGGAAACCCCGGUAAAGCGGCGCACGGGUGAGUAACACGUAGGUAAUCUACCCCCAGGUGGUGGAUAACCUUCCGAAAGGAGGGCUAAUACAGCAUAAGACCACGGUUCCGCAAGGGAUUGAGGUCAAAGCCGGCCACUUCAUGAAAGCUGGCGCCAGGGGAUGAGCCUGCGGCCCAUCACGGUAGUUGGUAGGGUAAUGGCCUACCAAGCCUAAAACGGGUAGCUGGUCUGAGAGGAUGAUCAGCCACACUGGAACUGAGACACGGUCCAGACUCCUACGGGAGGCAGCAGUGGGGAAUCUUGCGCAAUGGGCGAAAGCCUGACGCAGCGACGCCGCGUGAGUGAUGAAGGCCUUCGGGUUGUAAAGCUCUGUGGAGGGGGACGAAUAAGCGUUGGCUAAUAUCCAACGUGAUGACGGUACCUCUUUAGCAAGCACCGGCUAACUCUGUGCCAGCAGCCGCGGUAAGACAGAGGGUGCAAACGUUGUUCGGAAUUACUGGGCGUAAAGCGCGUGUAGGCUGCUCAGAAAGUCGGAUGUGAAAGCCCUGGGCUUAACCUAGGAAGUGCAUUCGAAACUUCUGAGCUGGAGUUCUGGAGAGGAAGGCGGAAUUCUUGGUGUAGAGGUGAAAUUCGUAGAUAUCGAGAGGAACACCGGUGGCGAAGGCGGCCUUCUGGACAGUGACUGACGCUGAGACGCGAAAGCGUGGGGAGCAAACAGGAUUAGAUACCCUGGUAGUCCACGCCGUAAACGAUGGGUGCUAGGUGUCGCGGGCUUUGACCCCUGCGGUGCCGUAGCUAACGCAUUAAGCACCCCGCCUGGG
This 871-nucleotide ribosomal RNA is filed under the name uncultured bacterium. Its description in RNAcentral is "bacterial SSU rRNA". It matches the Rfam family "Bacterial small subunit ribosomal RNA", at positions 26 to 877 of the family's 1533-position model. The record is from RNAcentral.